CAAGGCGACGAUCCCUAGCUGGUCUGAGAGGAUGACCAGCCACACUGGAACUGAGACACGGUCCAGACUCCUACGGGAGGCAGCAGUGGGGAAUAUUGCACAAUGGGCGCAAGCCUGAUGCAGCCAUGCCGCGUGUAUGAAGAAGGCCUUCGGGUUGUAAAGUACUUUCAGCGGGGAGGAAGGUGUUGUGGUUAAUAACCGCAGCAAUUGACGUUACCCGCAGAAGAAGCACCGGCUAACUCCGUGCCAGCAGCCGCGGUAAUACGGAGGGUGCAAGCGUUAAUCGGAAUUACUGGGCGUAAAGCGCACGCAGGCGGUCUGUCAAGUCGGAUGUGAAAUCCCCGGGCUCAACCUGGGAACUGCAUUCGAAACUGGCAGGCUUGAGUCUUGUAGAGGGGGGUAGAAUUCCAGGUGUAGCGGUGAAA
Molecule: ribosomal RNA, 425 nt
Filed under: Salmonella enterica
Lineage: Bacteria; Pseudomonadati; Pseudomonadota; Gammaproteobacteria; Enterobacterales; Enterobacteriaceae
Description: bacterial SSU rRNA
Rfam family: Bacterial small subunit ribosomal RNA
Source: RNAcentral